AUAUCACUAAGCGGAGAAAAAGAAAAUAACCAUGAUUCCUAGAGUAACGGCGAGUGAAAUAGGAAAAGCCCAUAGCCGAAUUCUGCUGUCCUCGACGGCAGCUAGAAGUUGUGGCGUUGGGAACUGCCUUUGUAACCGAUCGGUCGGGCUACGCGACUCCUCUUGAUUGUGGUCCUGCCAGU
Molecule: ribosomal RNA, 182 nt
Filed under: Chaetonotidae environmental sample
Lineage: Eukaryota; Metazoa; Gastrotricha; Chaetonotida; Chaetonotidae
Description: partial large subunit ribosomal RNA
Rfam family: Eukaryotic large subunit ribosomal RNA
Source: RNAcentral